This 301-nucleotide ribosomal RNA is filed under the name uncultured bacterium. RNAcentral describes it as "partial 16S ribosomal RNA". It matches the Rfam family "Bacterial small subunit ribosomal RNA", at positions 509 to 807 of the family's 1533-position model. The record is from RNAcentral.
CAGCAGCCGCGGUAAUACGGAGGGUGCAAGCGUUAAUCGGAAUUACUGGGCGUAAAGCGUGCGUAGGCGGCUUCUUAAGUCGGAUGUGAAAUCCCUGAGCUUAACUUAGGAAUUGCAUUCGAUACUGGGAAGCUAGAGUAUGGGAGAGGAUGGUAGAAUUCCAGGUGUAGCGGUGAAAUGCGUAGAGAUCUGGAGGAAUACCGAUGGCGAAGGCAGCCAUCUGGCCUAAUACUGACGCUGAGGUACGAAAGCAUGGGGAGCAAACAGGAUUAGAUACCCCAGUAGUCCCUGUCUAUUAUAC